AACGAACGCUGGCGGCAGGCCUAACACAUGCAAGUCGAGCGCCCAGCAAUGGGAGCGGCAGACGGGUGAGUAACACGUGGGAACCUUCCCUAUAGUACGGAAUAGCCCAGGGAAACUUGGAGUAAUACCGCAUACGCCCGAGAGGGGAAAGAUUUAUCGCUAUAGGAUGGGCCCGCGUAGGAUUAGCUAGUUGGUGAGGUAAUGGCUCACCAAGGCGACGAUCCUUAGCUGGUCUGAGAGGACGACCAGCCACACUGGGACUGAGACACGGCCCAGACUCCUACGGGAGGCAGCAGUGGGGAAUCUUCCGCAAUGGGCGAAAGCCUGACGGAGCAAUGCCGCGUGUGGGAUGAAGCGUCUCUGACGUGUAAACCACUGUCAGGGGUUGGAAACAAUGAUCGACCCCAAAGGAAGUGGCGACUAACUCUGUGCCAGCAGCCGCGGUAAU
This 448-nucleotide ribosomal RNA is filed under the name uncultured bacterium. Its description in RNAcentral is "bacterial SSU rRNA". It matches the Rfam family "Bacterial small subunit ribosomal RNA", at positions 29 to 524 of the family's 1533-position model. The record is from RNAcentral.